AGUGAACGCUGGCGGUAGGCCUAACACAUGCAAGUCGAACGGCAGCACAGUAAGAGCUUGCUCUUACGGGUGGCGAGUGGCGGACGGGUGAGGAAUACAUCGGAAUCUACUUUUUCGUGGGGGAUAACGUAGGGAAACUUACGCUAAUACCGCAUACGACCUACGGGUGAAAGCAGGGGAUCUUCGGACCUUGCGCGAUUGAAUGAGCCGAUGUCGGAUUAGCUAGUUGGCGGGGUAAAGGCCCACCAAGGCGACGAUCGGUAGCUGGUCUGAGAGGGUGACCGGCCAGAGUGGGAAUGAGAUAAGGCCCAGACUCCUAGGGGAGGAAGCAGUGGGGAAUAUUGCACAAUGGGCGGAAGCAUGAUGCAGCAACGCAGUGUGAGGGAUGACGGCCUUAGGGUUGUAAACCGCUUUCGCCUGUGACGAAGCGUGAGUGACGGUAAUGGGUAAAGAAGCACCGGCUAACUACGUG
RNAcentral lists this ribosomal RNA (472 nucleotides) under uncultured bacterium. RNAcentral's name for it is "partial 16S ribosomal RNA". It matches the Rfam family "Bacterial small subunit ribosomal RNA", at positions 30 to 507 of the family's 1533-position model. The record is from RNAcentral.